UAAAUAUAAGGUUUCAACAUAAAAAAUACUUUAAUACCGUAUUAAAAACAUUUUGAUAGUUAGUAGGGGAGAUCAAAGAUUAUUGUUUAUGUUUGUAGGAAAGUACUGCGAAGGAAAUAAUUAGUGUAAUUGAAUACUAGAAGAACUUAAAUUUCGUACCUUUUGCAUCAUGGUUUAGCUAGAUUUUAUUUUUAUAUCAAAUUUCUCGAAAUUCAGUGAGCUAUUUUUACUCAACAUUUUAGGGUGUAAUGGAAUUAAUUGUGGCAGAAAUUUUUCUAGAAGUAAGAAUAGAAAUGAAAUUUUAUUCGUACUGAAUGAUAGCUAGUUCUCUUAAAAGGUAUAUAAGUACUUUAGGCUAAUGUUAUUAGUAAUCGUUAGUAUAAAAUAAACUUAGUCUAGUUAAGUUUUCGAGGAUAAGCUCGAGAGCAUAAAAACACUAUAAGCACCUGUUAUUUUUAAUUAAAUUUAAGCUUGAAAAUAGCUAUAAUAAUUGAUUUUGUUAUAAUUUCAUUAAGUAUAAAAGAAGAUAAUUGAUUUGCUUAAAUUAAUUAGGAGAGUAAAGUUUUCAAUUCAAUAAAAUUUGAACUUAUGCUAAAAUGAGUAUUACCUUAGGUUAUAAAAUUUUAAAGUUUCAUGUUUUAAAAUUAGUUUUUGUGUUUUUUAGAUAAAACUAUAAAAAGGAACUCGGCAAAUUUAUAUUCUGCCUGUUUAGCAAAAACAUGGCUCCUUGUAAAAAGAAAAUAAGGAGUCGGACCUGCCCGGUGAAAUUUUUUUAACGGCCGCGGUACUCUGACCGUGCAAAGGUAGCAUAAUCAUUUGCCUUAUAAUUGAAGGCUGGUAUGAAUGGUUUGACAAGAAUAUAACUGUCUCUUUAUAGUUAUUUAGAAUUUUAUUUAUAGGUGAAGAAGCCUAUAUAUGAUUAAUAGACAAGAAGACCCUAUCGAGCUUUAAAUGAAUUAGUAGAUUUAAGCUAAUUAAAUAACAAUUAAAAUAAAGGUAUUAAAAAUUUUAGUUGGGGCGACUGAGGAACAAAGAAAGCUUCCUUUUAAUUUAUACAAACCGUACGAGUUUUGAUCCAAAAUGUUUUGAUUAAAGGAAUUAGUUACCGUAGGGAUAACAGCAUAAUCUCCUUUGAGAGUUCUUAUCGAAAAGGAGGUUUGUGACCUCGAUGUUGGACCAGAAUAUCCCAAAGAUGCAGCAGUCUUUAAAGGUUGGUCUGUUCGACCAUUAAAAUUCUACGUGAUCUGAGUUCAGACCGGCGUGAGCCAGGUCAGUUUCUAUCUUUA
Molecule: ribosomal RNA, 1286 nt
Filed under: Volema myristica
Lineage: Eukaryota; Metazoa; Mollusca; Gastropoda; Neogastropoda; Melongenidae
Description: 16S ribosomal RNA
Rfam family: Bacterial large subunit ribosomal RNA
Source: RNAcentral